GGUUAAGCGACUAAGCGUACACGGUGGAUGCCCAGGCAGUCAGAGGCGAUGAAGGACGUGCUAAUCUGCGUAAAGCGACGGUAAGGUGAUAUGAACCGCUACAGCCGUCGAUGUCCGAAUGGGGAAACCCGGUGCACUCUGUGCAUCAUUGCAGCAUGAAUACAUAGUGCUGCAAGGCGAACCGGGGGAACUGAAACAUCUAAGUACCCCGAGGAAAAGAAAUCAACCGAGAUUCCCCCAGUAGCGGCGAGCGAACGGGGAGCAGCCCAGAGCCUGAAUCAGUUUGUGUGUUAGUGGAAGCGUCUGGAAAGUCGCAGGGUACAGGGUGAUACUCCCGUACACAAAAGCACACA
RNAcentral lists this ribosomal RNA (353 nucleotides) under Pantoea agglomerans. RNAcentral's name for it is "partial 23S ribosomal RNA". It matches the Rfam family "Bacterial large subunit ribosomal RNA", at positions 1 to 391 of the family's 2925-position model. The record is from RNAcentral. Lineage: Bacteria; Pseudomonadati; Pseudomonadota; Gammaproteobacteria; Enterobacterales; Erwiniaceae.